UCGUGCAAAUGUUUUAUGAAACGUAAAUAAACAGACAGAUUUCACAUUGAAAAUAAUAAUCAAGGAAUAUCAAUAUGAAGACGUGGUUGAUUUUGGUUAUAUUUCUCGUUGUCAAACUCAUUGAAUGCAGAGAAAUUACCAAGGAAGAGAAUGAGCUCGGCAGUCCCCCAGGUGAUGCUCCCAUUGAAAAAAAAGCUGGAGGAGAUCCAAGGCAAAAUACUGUAGACCAAGCAAUAACUGAAAAGCAACAAAACCUUCAAGUUAUACAACCUUCCUCAGACAUCAGGAAUGUAGGUACUAAUCAGACCUUGUCAGAGCAGCAUGGAGCACAGCAACAACUAAAUCAGCUCCAGACAAAAGUGAUCCCAGUACAGCAACAAGAUACUCAGUCACAAAAACAACAAGAUAUUCCUAAGCAACAGGAUACUCAGUUUCAACAACAAGCUAAAUCUCAGCAGACAAGUCACUCACAAGGAGCUAGCCAGCAUCAACAUUUGUUAGAUCAAAAGCCAGUAAAUCAGUCUCAACAACAAACAAAAUCUCUAAUAGAAGUGAUCCCAGCUCAACAAGAAGUUGCCCAGUCUCAACAGGUGAUCCCUUUACAAAAACAGGCAACUCUUUCACAACAGCAGGUAAAUGCUGAACAAAAUCAGGCAACACCUUCACAAAAACAGGCAGCUCUUUUACAACAACAGGCAACUCCUUCACAACAACAGGCAACUCCAUCACAAAAACAGUCUGCUCCUUCACAAAAACAGGCAACACCUUCACAACAGGCAACUCCUUUACAACAACAGGCAACACCUUCACAACAACAGGCAAUUCCUUUACAACAACAGGCAACACCUUCACAACAACUGGCAACUCAAUCUCUUCCGCAUGAAAGCCAGUUUCAGCAGCAGGUAGCUCCAGCAACAAAUCAAUCUCAACAAGUAUUUCUUUCCCAGCAGGAGGGGUCACAGCAGACACGUCAGUCUCAACAAGUUGCAGCCAAAUUACACCAAUUAAUUGACAAUACACAAAAUACAUCAAUAUUGACACAGGUAGAUGUUAACCUAAAACAAGAAGUUGUACAACCAGUGAAUCAGGAAGUUAAACAAGAAGUUGUACAACCAGUGAAUCAGGAAAUUAAACAAGAAGUUGUACAACCAGUGAAUCAGGAAAUUAAACAAGAAGUUGUACAACCAGUGAAUCAGGAAGUUAAACAAGAAGUUGUACAACCAGUGAAUCAGGAAAUUAAACAAGAAGUUGUACAACCAGUAAAUCAGGAAAUUAAACAAGAAGUAAAAGCUUUGUAUCCUGAACCUUCACAGAAUUUUGUUCAAGAAAUAAAACAAAAUGAAAAUAAUAUUGAACAAAAAGAAACAAAACAGCAGUCAAUUCCAGUCAUAACACCAAAACAGGAUACCAGUAUAACACCAAUACAACUGGAAUCUAGACCACAAGAAUCUAAUUAUAGAACAACACUACAGCAGAUAUUGAUUAGACCAGAAUUUAGCUACAAAACUACAGUACAACCAACAUUUAGUACAACAGGUGAUACAAUGGAUAAUGGUGAUGAUUAUUUAGUUGACUGGGAUAAAGAUCAAGAUUUGGAUGCAACUAAUGACCAAAAAACUGAUGUUGAUAGUUUGGUUGAUGAAGAUAAAGAUGUUUGGGAUGAUUCAGAUCAAGAUCCAUGGGACAAAAAUAUAGAUCUUAAUGUAGAUAACAAUGAAGAAGAGCUAGAAAAUGAAAACAACAAUUUUAUUGAGGAUACUAAAAAAUUCCCUGAUGGUCAGGAUAAUGGUUAUUUUGAUGAAGAUGAUUUUAACAGUGUUGCUGAUAAAACAGGAGAUUUCUGGGAUGAACCAAUGUUUAACAAGCAUCCUUUGAUAAAAGACAAGUUUGUAACAAAGAAUUAUAGAAGUCCAGUAGCAGACGAGACUAAAUUAAUGGGAUUCUAUAGCUGGGUUCUCUUUGUGACACUUUUGUUUCUUAUAAUGUUUGUCCUGUUCACACAACAUAGACCAAGGUCGAGAUGGUUUGGACUUGGAAGACGAUAUAGAUCAUCAUCAAAAUCUGUAGCGUAUUGAUGUUGGACGGAGUAUUAAUCCACAUAUUGUUUAUGAUUUCAGUGUGGACUUCUAUAUGGAUCAAGGAACCGACACAGGAGGCCAUCUGUAUCUACAGAAGAAGGAAAAAGUCUCAUGAAAAAUAUGUAUACUUAAUUUAUACUUAAACUUAUACUAAAAAAAAUUUGAGAACUACUUAAUUUUUAUAUUUCUUUCACUACCUUGUGGGUAUUAACAACUCCAUUUCCUAUUUUAUUUAACUGAUUUUUCUUUUGCUUUUGAAUUUUGAAAGUAUUGCUUUAGCUUUUAUUGUUUACAAUAAGUGGGAGAGAAAAAGUAAUCUGUGGAGAUUUUUUUCUGUAUACUUGUUUAUUUUAUUUUUAAUGUCCUUAUUGGUUUUGAUUGACAUAAAUGUAAGAGGGAAAAAUGAUCUGUGGAAUCAUAUUUCUGUAUGCUUAAAAUCACAAAAGAUCUCACAUUUUAUGUGUUUACAUUUUAAGGUCUGCAAGUAUCAUUUUGGUUACAUUAUACUUUAAAUUCAGAAAUUAUUGCAUGUAUUAAAUAUAAAGAUUUUUAAAGACUGAACAAAAAGAUUAGUUAUCACAGUUCAGGAAAAGUUUCAAACAGAUAUAUGUAUCAGAUAUUAGAAUGCAAGUUCUUCUUACUGUGAUACUCACCUAGUCACAUUAAUAAAAACUUUGCAAUUAUUUCUGAAUUUACAGUAUAUCAUUUGAAAGCAGAGAAAGAAAUAUUUUUUGGCAGCCUAUUUUUAUUGAAGAACUGGUCAUUAUCAUGAUAUAUGGACUGCCCACAGGACAGUGGUAUUGACUAAGACAGAGAUAAUGACUGAUCUGUAGGCAGUCAAUACCACUGUCAUAAGGGCAGUCCAUGUAUCACGAUAAUGACCAGUUCUUCAAUAACUAUUAUGUUUAUUUCAUUGAGGAACCAUGUUUUUAAAAAUUCUCAUAAAUUCAAAUUGUUCAAAGCAGACUCGAGUUAUUGUACGAUUUCUAUAGGAAAGAGUGAAGACCAGUCAUAUUGAUAACUAUAAGUCAGUACCGUUCAUUUAAAUGCAAUUUUUCAGUAUAUGAAUACAAAAUAAAGUUUUCCAUAAUUUUAUAAUUCUUGUUGCUGAGUAGUUUUUCUCUAUCAGCAUUGGAAAUUACGGCAAAACGAUCAUUUGAGUUGUCUGCAGCAGGUGUGUCUUCCAGUUCAGCCAUGUUCCAAACGUCUGAAUCGCGAUUGCAUUUUUUUAUUAAAGGGACAUCACUCUAAACAGAGAAACCACGCCCCAUUGGUCAUUAACAUGUAAAAGUCCUUUAAUGACCAGUUUUCUGGUACGUUUUUUUUUUGUGAAAGACCGAUGGAAUUUUUUACUAAAGAAUAAAGAAUGUCAUGUGGCCCCUUGUUAUCCAAUAAGAGAAGCUUAUUCUCUACCAAUAUGAAAUAAUAUUUGUUAGAUAUUUUACUUUAGGUAGAUUCUAUUCUAUCUGAUUGAAAUACAGAUACUGUGUUCAUGCUUCACUAAAAGGAUCUGUUCUAUUUUCUGUUUUAAAGAUCUUUAGGCACCCUCAGGUUUUGUUGUAAUAUAAACACCUUAAUAAAUUGAAGCCAGAAACUUUAUUUAGUGGUAUAAACAUUAUCAGAACAGAAAGUAGGAUGGAGAUUUGACUCCAUUCUUUGUGUAAAAUUUUACCCUUAAGGCAUACUAAGGCGAUCUAGGAGUAAAAUUUUAAAAAGAUAUAAAGCUUAAUCAUUAUUUAAGUCACUUCUUAUUUAAAAUGUUUCCCCAAAAAUUGCAUUGAAAGAGUUUGUGAUAUUUUAGUGCUUAUAAUAUAUUACAAUGUUGUCAGUGUUUGUUGGUCAUGGUUGAGUGAGUAUUAGAACAUGAAGCUUAUCACAAAGUGAUUGAAAUUUUCACAGGUUAUUACUAAUGAUAGAAUUUAGAUAUAUUGUAUUGGGAAUAUGGAUUGUGAUGUAAAGUUUUUAUUUCAGUAGAAUUAUAGUAGCUCAAGUUUUGCCCCUAUAUGUUACUAAGGUGAUACUGAUAUUAGUUGCACCAUCAGAAAGGAGUUAUGACAAUUUGAACAAUUUUAAAUAAAGCUGCUAGGCCUUCUUCAAUUUAAACCAGAAUUAUUGAAGCAGCUUGGCCUUCUUCAGUUGAAACCAGAACUAUAUCAUGAAAUUUGAAUUUGCAAACAGCAAGACUUAUUUCAAAUUUUCACUGAUUUCUUUUUGGUUUACAUUAAAGGGCCUGUCAAACUUAUCUUAUUUAAGUUUAGAAGGAUAAGUCUGAAUAUAGAUGUCUUUGUAUGACAAUUAAGCUACCAUAAUUCUACUGCUGAGAAAUAUUGUACUUUAUAUAAUUUAAAUUUUUAUUGUUGUUAUUGUUAGAGUUUAGCACUUGUUUUUUUUUUCACAUAUUUUAUGUUUUAUUUUGAUGACAUUUAUAACAUAUAUUGAGGGAAUUAUCUAUUUGGUUGUCAUUACUCGUCACUAAUAUUCACAUUCUUAUAUCAUUAUAAAGUCAAUUUCACAAUUGUAUUUUUUUUUCAUUGUUUGUAAAAUUUUAUGACAUGGUGUAAGGAAAUUUACAAUGUAAAAAUAUUUAUCUUCUUGUGUUACAGUGAGAAUGCAUAUAUUGUCAGCUUGCAUGAUAUAAUACUCAUUUUUAUCCAACAUUUAUAUAUAAAACUGUUGUUUUAUGCCCCACCUAGGGGCAUUAUGUUUUUCGGUCUGUGCUUCAGUUUGUCCGUCCGUUCGUUUGUCCCCCUUCAGGUUAAAGUUUUUGGUCAAGGUAGUUUUUGAUGAAGUUGAAGUCCAAUCAACUUGAAACUUGGUACACAUGUUCCCUAUGAUAUGAUCUUUCUAAUAUUUAUGCCAAAUUAGAGUUUUGACCCCAAUUUCAUGGUCCACUGAACAUAGAUAUGAUAGUGUGGGUGGAACAUUCGUGUACUAUGGACACAUUCUUGUUUUAUUUUAUUUUAUUCAUUAUUUUUUUCUUUUUUGUAAAAAAAAAUGUUGGGCUAAAAGUGAAAAAGUUUCUGUUACAACAUGUAGGUCAAGGGAAACAGAUUACAGUUAUAUUUAUGGAAUAUGAUAGAUUUCAAUAAAAAAAGGAGGAAUUGGUAUAUUUGAAAAGCUAUUUUUAACUUACGGUAAUAUUUUCAUCCAUAGUGUCAUUUUCAUCCAUAUCAUGAAUAUCACAUGUACAUGAAUUAAAAGAUUGUUUUCUAAAUUGUUGAUUAAGCCUGUAUGAAUGUGCCAUGUUCUAAGAUUUGCAGCUUUCGUUUUAAUAUAUAUAUAAUUGUGUGCCAUUAUAAUAGGAAUUACAAACUAGUUGCUAUUAUUGCAAAGUACUUUACUAGUCCCUUUUAUUUAGAAAAGUUUAUUUCAUUAUGAACAAAUAUUUCACAUUGAACAAGGUUUUGUGUUAGCAGCAAUUGAUAGUUGUUACUAGUAGUAACUUGUGUGUAUUUUUAUGAUCUCUUUGGAUUUUAUGUUGUUGUUAAAUUGAUUACUAUACUUAAUUAUAUAUAUAAUGGUUUCAUACAUUGAAAAAAAAUCAGAUGUGGUAUGAUUGCCAAUGAGACAAUUAUCAACCAGAGACCAAAUAAAGAGGAUAUAGGGCCUUCAACAAUGAGCAAAAGCCAUACCGUAUAGCAAGCUUUAAAAAGCCCUUUCAUGACAAAAUGUAAAAGAGUUUAAAAAUGAAAGGAAAAGGCCUCAUUUAUGAUAAAACAAUAAACAAAAGAGCAGAUAUGCAGCCAACAACUACCACUGAAUUACAGGCUCCUGGUUUGAGACGCACAUACAGAUUGAACAGGUUGAACAUGUUUCUGACUAUGUAACCCUCCCUUAACCUUAGACAAUGGUAAAAAAGCAAAACAAUGAACAAACAAUCAGAAGGAAAAGUCUUUUGACUAAGGCCUAUCAUGUGAUGUGAUUUGACAAAUCACAGCUUUCGAACAAUAUGAUACAUGUUUUAUUAUAAAAGAUUUAUAACCUGUCAUGUAUUACUCCUAUGAGGGGCACCUCUACACUUAUUAUCAUUUGUUUAAAUACAAAAUUGAUGAGAAAAAAUGAGAUUAUAAGGAAAUAUAUGGUCCAAUAAUCUGAUUUUGGUCUCUGACUAAUGUUUGUUUUACUCAGGUUUAUGUACCAAGCUUUCAUAUUGUACAUUUGAAUUGAGAAUUACUUGUUUACAAGCUUUUCUAAUAAAUUUGUUAUACGGGAAGUAUUUUCUGAUGAAAUAUUGAAUAUUCCCUAUGUUGAAAUCUAUCAAUACUUUUACAAAAUCACUUUUAUGCCCCACUGCAGUGAAGGGAGCAUUAAGUGUUACCCUUGUCUAUCCGUAUGUACAUCCAGAGAUUGGUUUUCAUUCUCUAACUUUAGUUUGCCUCAACCAAAUGUUAUGAAACUUAUAUACAAUGCUUAUUUCCAAGAUUUGAAUUUAGUGGCAUCACUUUUACUGUUCUAGAGUCAUGCCCCUUUACAAAUUGUAAAAUAGUUGAAUUUUUGUUUCUGUUCUCUAACUUAAGUUAGCCUCAACCAAAUGUUAUGAAACUUAGACACAGUGCUAAUUACCACAAAACUCAGAUCAAGUUAGAAUUUGGUUGGUGUCACUGUUACCCUUCUUGAGUUAUGUCCCUUUAUAACAUUAUAUGCAAGCAGGAGCAUCAUCUCUGUCCCAUGGACACAUUCUCCAUUUUUUUUUUUUAUUUCAGUAUUAAUUUAUAUAGCAGGGUGCUUUUUAUUGAAUUUAGCUAUGCAAGAGGGCAGUAUUAUCUAUAUAUCUAUUGAGGUGUAUGGUCUUAACUUGUGAAUAUAAUUAUACCAUACAUAUGUGUAUUGGGAAGGUUCAUUGUAUAUAUGACAUUUCAUGGAAUAUUUGUAUUCAUUUUUUUUUCUAUCAGUGCAAACAAAAUUCCAGAUAAAAAGGCUUAUUAUUAGUUUUUAUUCUACCAAUGUGACAAUGUUUGAUUAUAAACUAGUUUGUUAACCAAGAUAUAUGAAUAUUUUAUUCACGAUUCAUAAAUGCAAUAGUUUAUAUUUUCACCUAAUGAAAUGUUUCAUUAUUUUGUUCAAGGUUUAUCCAGAUUAUUGUUUCAGAAUAAUGAUAAUCAGUCCACCAACUCAAAUUUAUCCUGCAAUUAGACAUUUAACUAUACAAAUAUCAAUGUACAAAAAUAUGUGACACUUAUAUACUAUAUAUACACAUACUGUUUUUGGUUUUCUUCUUCUAUACUGAGUGUUGUCCUAAACAUGCAUAAAAUAUUUGCCACUGGACAAUCAAUUAUUCUGAGUGAAAUGUAGUAUUUGAAUAACCAUCACAAUUCAUUUUAUGGUCCUUGGCAUAGUCCGUAUAUGUUAUUGCUUCCACUGCUACUUAUUGAAUAUUUAACAACAUAGACUAUGUCAAGAAAUCAAACCUGUAGAAGUACAAAUAAGUUUUAUAUUGUUCCACAUAGAAAAUCUACUUUCUAUGAAACAGUUUGUAUGUAUACUGUAUAUGUAUUUGACUUUAAAAAAACAUCAGCAAUAACAUCUAAAUGCAAAUCUUCUACAAAUUCAAAUGUUAAAUGUUUGCUUUAAAAUGAAAAAAAAUAUCCUUUUAUAGUGAAUUUUAUAAUCUGCAAUAAAAUUUUCUUUGAAGAGCUUUGUUAAUAUUCUAGCAGAGAUAGACUAAUGUAUCUGUUAUUAAUACAUAAUUGGAUAAACACAACUGUGACAUACAUGAAUUAUUUCCAAAUUAGAAUUAUGAUAUUUUACUGUCUAUCUGGUACUUACGAUUAAUGUAAUGUGAAGUGAUGAAUAUAAGAGAGAGAGAGAGAGAGAGAGAGCAGAAGUGUUACAUAACCUCUGUGACUGGCUGGAUCACAAAGGUGUUUUGUUAACAGCAAAAUAAGGUGCAAUAAAAUUUUAAUUU
RNA transcript from Mytilus californianus (California mussel), 7983 nucleotides. It is a transcript of the gene named myb-like protein O, with no coding region annotated. The transcript has 7 exons. The record is from RefSeq and is a predicted model, not a curated record. Lineage: Eukaryota; Metazoa; Mollusca; Bivalvia; Mytilida; Mytilidae.